This 406-nucleotide ribosomal RNA is filed under the name uncultured bacterium. RNAcentral's name for it is "partial 16S ribosomal RNA". It matches the Rfam family "Bacterial small subunit ribosomal RNA", at positions 29 to 526 of the family's 1533-position model. The record is from RNAcentral.
ACGAACGCUGGCGGCUGCUUAACACAUGCAAGUCGAACGGAGUGGCGAACGGGUGAGUAACGCGUGAGCAACCUGCCUAUGACAGUGGGAUAGCCUCGGGAAACCGGGAUUAAUAUCGCAUAGUCAUAGAUGGGCUCGCGUCUGAUUAGCUAGUUGGUGAGGUAACAGCUAACCAAGGCGACGAUCAGUAGCCGGUCUUGGAGGAUGAACGGGCACAUUAGAGCUGAGACACGGUCCAAACUCUUACGGGAGGCAGCAAGGGGGAAUAUUGCACAAUGGGUGAAUCCCGGAGGCAGCGACGCCGCGUGAACGAGGAAGGUAUUCGUAUCGUAAAGUUCUGUCCUAUGGGAAGCGGUACCAUAGAAGAAAGCUCCGGCUAAAUACGUGCCAGCAGCCGCGGUAAUAC